Molecule: non-coding RNA, 1005 nt
Organism: Saccharomyces cerevisiae AWRI796
Lineage: Eukaryota; Fungi; Ascomycota; Saccharomycetes; Saccharomycetales; Saccharomycetaceae
Source: Rfam
UAACCAUUGAUGAAAUUCUAUUGAAUGUCCCCAAUUUUCGGAAAAGGACUGCACCGAAAUAUUUCAAUCAAAAUCAUUUAUCGUUUUGUUUAGCUAUUUUUUUUCUCAAAUUAUCACUCUUUUCUUCCUUUUUCAUUCUCUCAAUUGUUCUUUUUAUUUGAGGAAAUUUGAUUGUAUUGCAUAUACAACUAUGCGAUGCACUUUGUUCAUUUUAACUUUGGAUAUAUGUGCCUUGCUAUGAACGCGUUCAUUUUUAAGUGACCGGACCCUAAAAUAUUCAGGUAGCAUGACGGAAGCUAUGAAUUAAUCCUGGUGGAGGGGUGUGUUCAGUUUGAGGGAGGAUGAUAAAAUGGAACGGAGAUUGCAAGGAGACGUAGAAAAUAAAGUAGGAGCAAAUGGAUUUUCUGCUUGGCGGUAUAGCACGUUUGAGUUUUUCAGUCGUGUCUAUGUUCAGGUUUAUGAUAUGCUGUGGUUGAUUCUGUUGAUUCACACGUUUCGCUUCCAUAUAGUGUGUUAACGGAAACUCCAUGUUAAGGUUUAUUAUAAGAAAAUUUUUUGAAUUUGUUCUUUUUAUAUUGGUUUACUCUCCUCGUGAUUUCUUUUCUUUUUUUAUCGUCAUCCUCUCUGAAUGUAUUUAUUACGCAUGGCUUUUAUUCAUUGCUUUCUAACUGUGAUGGGAGUUUUUUUCUUGUUGCAUAAAUGAACGUGGGCGAGGUUUUUAUUUUCAAACUUGGUGUACUAUAGUGCAAUGCGUUGUUAAUUGUAAUACGAUGUUUCUUCGAUAAAAGGAGCGGAGGGAGAAGGUGAAAUUACGAAGGAAAGAAAGAGAUGAGAAAUCAAGAAUGAAGCAAGACAUUGAUUGAUAUGGUUGUUUUCGGUGCAUGUUUGAUUACUAAAAGUUGGGGCAUUCGAUGGUUUACAGAAGUCAUAAAUUCAAAUAUCCCGUUUAAUCGCUCAUCUAUUAAAAUCAAUAGUAGAAUGUAGUUUCAUACCCGGGAGAAAUUC